UCAGUGUAACGGCUCCGCUCUCCACUAGAUGGCGCCGCCAGCCUCCUGGGGUGGGUUCUUGUGGCGCUCGUAGGUGCGUAUGCGCAUGCGCGGGAGCGGUGAAAUGGCGCCACCCAGCUACCCGGUCUGUUCUCCCCAUCAGCAGUCGCACACCCGUCCUCUGUCUUCAGCUCUUGUCCGCUCCCCGCUUCUUGCCUCUCCGUGACCAGGCCCCAGGCAGUCGCUCUCUCCCGAGUUUUGUCUCAGACGCGGCUGUUUUCCCCGGCCCCUUACUUCCGAAGGGCUGCCGCUUCGGCCCCUUCCGCCCCUCUGCGGGCGGGUCUCCCCCGGCAACGGCCGACGCCGGCCGCACCCAGGAAAGUUCGCCAAACCGUGCUGCUGCCGGAGCCCAGAGACCGCGGCCGGGUGCCAGCCGCCCCAGAAAAAGUUCGCGAGCUAGCGCAGCAGCAGCCUUUCAGGGAUUAUGGAAAAUCGCAACUCGCAUCUGGCACCAGGCUUCACCCUUAACGACCUCGUUCCAGCACCAGCGAUCCGGCCGUUCUCUGGGGUCUGCUGGGCCCAGGUGGCCUCACAGCCUCCAGGGGAAGUCCUUCCGGCCGUGGAACCGCUUCUCCCCGUGUGGCCCGAGAACCUCCUGGACCCCGCUCUGCUCCUGGGGAUUCGCCCUUCCCGCCAGAGCACCCACCGCCAGGUGGAGAAACCGUGUCCCAGAGAGAGAGCAAGGUCACAGCAAGUUAGAGACAUGCCAGAAUUCCGCAGGGAACGAGACCCUCCCUCCUGCGGGAGGCCCUGGGGGUGUCUAAUUCUGGGACGCGUUCUCCUUGGAAACGGGCCUGAUCACAGCCGUCAGAAUUUUUCAAACUCUGCUCCCAUCCUGCAGCCACCCCCUCUCCAGGUGCUGUAGAAUCUUGGUUCCUAGAGCUCAGCUCAUGAUCUCGCAGUUUGGGGAGUUCCAGCCCUGCAUCGGGCUCUGUGCGGACAGCGUGGAGCCUGCUUGAGACAUUCGUCUCCCUCUCUCUGUCUUUGCCUCCCUCCACUCACGCUGUCUCCUCUCUAAGUACACAAAUAAACUUAAAAAAAGCCACGUCCAUUUCUCCUCUGUCCCGUUCUGCUUCUCCCUGCCUUAUGCUGUCUUUCCUCUCUCCGGAAUGGUAGGCCUAGGGGUUGAGGUAGAAGGAGGCAGAGCUGACGUGUUGGCCGAAUUCCCAGGCCUGCUUGGGCCGGACCUCGGAGACAGAGGAGUCCUGGGGGCGUGUGAGGCCUCCCGGCUGCGGCUGCGGGGAUCCCAGGGCACUGGGGCCUCCCUGAUUCCCUGGAUCUCCAUCUUUCUAAGGGGAGGGCCGGUCCAGAGCGGGACUGGAGUGAGCCCGACCCCCUCCCUGGCCAGUGGCGUUUGCGGGUCUACCACACCAUCCCCCAUCCCUGGCCCAGCCCACACUGCCUGUCCCCGCCCCCACUGUGUGAUCUGGGGGUCUCAGGGUAGACUUUUCUCCCCUCUCCCCGGAGGCCCCGCCCAGGCGGGGCAGCCGCGCAUGCAGACCCACCUCCUGCCCGCCUCCGCGUCGCGGUAGUCCUCGAUGGCCAGCCGGAGCUUGCGCCGGUGCAGGGAGCUGCACACGCCCAGGCCCAGCUCCAGGUCCUCGUCACUCAGGCUCAGCAGCACCUGCUCCCCCGGGAGGUGAAAACUGAGCCCAGGAGGGAGGUUUGGGUGGGCACCCGAGGCUCCCGGGGCCCGCCGCUGGCUGUGCAGCCGA
This is a long non-coding RNA of Acinonyx jubatus (cheetah), 1754 nucleotides long. RefSeq lists it as uncharacterized. The transcript is spliced from 3 exons. The record is from RefSeq and is a predicted model, not a curated record. Lineage: Eukaryota; Metazoa; Chordata; Mammalia; Carnivora; Felidae.